RNAcentral lists this ribosomal RNA (253 nucleotides) under uncultured bacterium. RNAcentral describes it as "partial 16S ribosomal RNA". It matches the Rfam family "Bacterial small subunit ribosomal RNA", at positions 524 to 776 of the family's 1533-position model. The record is from RNAcentral.
GACAGAGGAUGCGAACGUUGCUCGGAAUUACUGGGCGUAAAGCGCGCGCAGGCGGCUUUGUAAGUCUGAUGUGAAAGCCCGGGGCUCAACCCCGGAAGCGCACCGGAUACUGCGAAGCUGGGGUCUUGAAGAGGAGAGCGGAAUUCCCGGUGUAGAGGUGAAAUUCGUAGAUAUUCGGAAGAACACCAGUGGCGAAGGCGGCUCACUGGUCCGGUACUGACGCUGAGGUGCGAAAGCGUGGGGAGCAAACAGG